AUGUCUGCAGAGAACAUAGUCAAUACGGGAGCACAGGUUUCCCCAGAAAACAUUGCCCUGAUGGCAAAUCGACAGACACAAACACGGACUGCUCACGGACGGGCUGAGGCCAGGGAAGAGGCCCGUGUCCACUCUGAGAUGCUGGGAAGGGGGUCAGGGAGAGGCUCGGGGGCCUGGGGGGUCAGGCCAGUGCCAGGAUCACGUGAGAAACCCCGGGUACUUGCUCCCUGCCACCUCCGAGCCAGACUCUUCCCUCUGCCCCCAGAGUUCUGCUGCCCUCCAGCAGCCUCCAUCUCAGCAAGAGCAGACGGGCUGCCUGGCCACCAGGCCCCCUCUCUAGCGAACCUGGACCAGGAGCUCCCCGCCUGUCCAGUGCCCAGGCUCAGCGGGGCUCGCGGAGGCCUGGCAGGGGCGCUUGCCCCGAAUUCAGUGAGCAGAGGCCCGUUACGGAGUGAGGGGAGACUGUGUGCCAGGCCUGGGCGCCGGGUGCUGGCUGCCCCAGGUGCUGAGCACCCCGGGGCUGAGUCCAGGGCGGGCAGGGGCCAGCCUCAGGGAAGGCUCCCCUGUGAAGACGGCAGGACCAACAGGCGAUGUCAGGGUGGGGGGCCGUCAUGGAGGGCUGCGGUUGAACUGGCUUGCGCACCCGGGACGGAGGCUGGGGAUGCCGGGAUGGAGGCCGGGCUGGGGUCUUCCCGGGUGAUGCCAGAGCUGCUCCUGGGAGCUCUCUCACCAGCUCGGGGUGAUGGGCUGAGUGGAGGCAGACGUGGCCACAGGACCCGGGGACGCACACAGGGCGAGCAGGGGCAGAUUUGGGAGCUGAGGAGAAGCCUAAGCCCUCGGCCUCUGAUGUGUGACGGCAGGACGGGGAUGGGGGGGGCUCUGGUGUGCAGACUCGGGGGGACGCCCCACCCCUCUGGGCGAGCACCCACCCCUUGGGCCAGACAGUUGCAGUCUCAGGCUCCCACAGGGCACCCUGCUCCCCUGGGCAAGUUUCUGAUUUGCACUGAAACACAGUUUCUUGUGCAUAAAGUCAGGACACGCUGUUCUCAGUGGUGA
This is a long non-coding RNA of Bos indicus x Bos taurus (hybrid cattle), 1056 nucleotides long. The record is from Ensembl. NCBI's taxonomy places the organism in Eukaryota, Metazoa, Chordata, Mammalia, Artiodactyla, Bovidae.